RNAcentral lists this ribosomal RNA (488 nucleotides) under uncultured bacterium. RNAcentral's name for it is "partial 16S ribosomal RNA". It matches the Rfam family "Bacterial small subunit ribosomal RNA", at positions 30 to 506 of the family's 1533-position model. The record is from RNAcentral.
AUUGAACGCUGGCGGCAGGCCUAACACAUGCAAGUCGAACGGUAACAGGAAGCAGCUUGCUGCUUCGCUGACGAGUGGCGGACGGGUGAGUAAUGUCUGGGAAACUGCCUGAUGGAGGGGGAUAACUACUGGAAACGGUAGCUAAUACCGCAUAACGUCGCAAGACCAAGAGGGGGACCCUAGGGGCCCCUUCCAUUGGAUGUGCCCAGAUGGGAUUAGCUAGUAGGUGGGGUAACGGCUCACCUAGGCGACGAUCCCUAGCUGGUCUGAGAGGAUGACCAGCCACACUGGAACUGAGACACGGUCCAGACUCCUACGGGAGGCAGCAGUGGGGAAUAUUGCACAGUGGGCGCAAGCCUGAUGCAGCCAUGCCGCGUGUAUGAAGAAGGCCUUCGGGUUGUAAAGUACUUUCAGCGGGGAGGAAGGGAGUAAAGUUAAUACCUUUGCUCAUUGACGUUACCCGCAGAAGAAGCACCGGCUAACUCCGU